AUCCAUUACAUGGUUGGGCAGCAGCUAAGACUAGAAUGAUAUAGAGAAGAUUAGCAUGGGCCCUGUGCAAGCCCUUUACCAUGACGAAAAAGAAAUUAAUACAUUUU
Python bivittatus (Burmese python) is the source of this 107-nucleotide non-coding RNA. The record is from RefSeq and is a predicted model, not a curated record. NCBI's taxonomy places the organism in Eukaryota, Metazoa, Chordata, Lepidosauria, Squamata, Pythonidae.